This 2277-nucleotide long non-coding RNA is filed under the name Gossypium barbadense (sea-island cotton). RNAcentral's name for it is "long non-coding RNA (GBAR_LNC017148)". Lineage: Eukaryota; Viridiplantae; Streptophyta; Magnoliopsida; Malvales; Malvaceae. The record is from RNAcentral.
CGAUGUAGAGAGUUCCUUGUGUAGUUGACCUUUAUCAAAGCGAGUCUUUUCAUAUUCCAGAUAUGAGAGGAAAAAAUCACCCAAUCUCUUUGCUGUUUACCCGGCAUGAUGACUUUGUGAAGUUAGGUGGCUAAAAUUUCUUGUUUUUGGUUGUUGAUUCUCAUCAUUAUGGUUCAGGCUACUAGUUCAUUAACAGAAAAAACAUAAUAUAUAUUUUUAACAUAAAUGUAGCUACUAUCUUAUGAUCGUCCAUGCCUAUGUUACUUGGACUUAAGUGUGAGUGUUGGUAUGCGUCUAACACGAAUGGGUAUGUUUAAUUUUUUUUUCUUUUUUAAAGUUUGGGGGGGUUUCAUAUAUCCACAGACUCUUGUCUGUAAAUGAGUUAUACAUAGGUGUUGUAGAGGGAUAUUUUAAGAAAAAUGAAGAGAGGGAAUAUUGAAGGUCUAUGCUUCAUGGGUUUGAAAUGGUUAGUUUUUGAGUCCCCUUCAAAUUAGGAUAGUCUAUAUUACUAAAUGAAUUGUGGUUUUAUUGAUUUUGUUAGUUGGUGAAUGGAAAUAACAAAAAAUCUUUCUUAUAAAUAAUGUGUAGUUACUGUAUUACUUGCUUUUUUUUUUGAAUUAAGCUUAAUUGACUGAACUUGCUACUUUGAACAACUACUUCCUUUGGUGAUAUGUACUGUGUGCUGGAAUUUUAUUACGUCUUCUUCUUCUCUUGUAGACUUCUCUGUCAUUCGUGUAAUUAAAUUUUAUUCAUAGAGAACUUGCAACUCGUUUUUAGCACAUUAGCUCUGCUCUGAUUUGUUUAGUUGCUAUAGUAGUCUGGGAGUGAUUAUGCUCAGGCCAUGCUGCUUUGGCUUUUAAUUUUUCUUGAAGUACCAUGUAUGAAACAUAUUAAGACAUGGAUAUAGAGGUAUGAUCCUCUAAAGAGUUGAACAUAUACAUCUCAAACACAUACAAAUAUCCUACAUGCAUCCCUAGUCUGACUGACAUAGGUUAGGUUAUAGCUAUUCAACCUUAAACUAAGGUGGAUUUGUAAAACAAUUCAUUUUGUCUUUAUCAUUAGUAUCUAGGAUGACCAUAUGAUACUGGAUGGGUUUUGUUGUUUAACUUAUUUGAAAAGCGUUCAAAUGUAGUUAUAGGGAGAAAGUUGCCACAGGUUUUAAACUUUUAAUAUCAUCAGCGAUAGCUUUUCCUUUUUCCCCUGCUAGACUUUCAGCAUUUAAUUUCCUUGUUUAAAGAUGUUUCAAACUUGCUAAAAAUGCAACAAUUGCAUAUGUUAUUUAAUUAAUUAAAUAAAUGAUACUGAGUUCUUUACCUUUUCUUCCUUGGUUGUUUUGUUGCAUCUUUAUGCUGGUAUGAGUGAUGGAAUUAAGUGAAAUUUUAGUGAAAUUUCUAGCUAUCGAGGGAGCUGCUGAAGCAUGCAGUUUGCAUGCAUGCUAUCUAAUUUCUUACCAAUUUAGGUGGUCUAAUCAAUGGUUGUUUAGUGUUGUCCAAAUAAUAAUUAAAGAUCAUCCAAGUGAUCAGGAAAUUAAAAUUGUCUGAACAAUGUGAAACUAAAUUGUUAAAUGUUAACUAAUGAUGUCCAAAUGGAUAUGGAUUUAUGAUGUUAGUAAGCUAAAAAUUUAGUUGUUAAAUGUUGCAAUUUAUGGUGUCUGAAAGUUGUGAUUUAUGAUAUUCGAAUGAUGUAUUUUAAGUUGUUUGGAUGUGUUAAAGAGUUGGUUUAAUAUAAUGCCUAAUGGUUGUUUAUUGUUGUUCAAAGCAUGAUGAAAUAAACAUGUUAGGCGUAGUUUAAUAUAUGCCUUGCUAACCCGUAAGGUUGUCCAAAACAAGAUAAAAUUUUGUUGUCUUUAAGAUGUUCGAAUGUGGUUGUUCAAAUGGUUCUUCAAAUUUUCCAAAUGUGUCCUUAAAGUGCUCGAAAAUGUCAUAUUAAUAUUGUCCAUAUAUAAUUUAAUAUUUUAUCAUUUGGAACUUUAAUAUUUUAACACAAGUGAUGUCAAUUUCUUGUCUUGAUAACAUCUUUAUUAUUUACUGAUGCAGGUGGGCAGACAAGUAUCAGGUACCGGACAUAAACAAAUAUCUCCACUGCAAUGAUGAUACCAUUACUUUUUUCUAGUAAUACUGGAAAAGACAAUAUAUGCAUGUUAAACUACCUUUACAAUUCGGAUUUGAUCUUUUUACUUUAAACAAGAACAUUUUGGUUAUAUUUAAUUUUCGAUAUGUUUUUAUUUUUGAUAUGUUUCAUUUAAAACUAUUUUAAUCUUUUAAUAUAUUAUUAAAC